UGGGGAAUUUUGGACAAUGGGCGAAAGCCUGAUCCAGCAAUGCCGCGUGUGUGAAGAAGGCCUUCGGGUUGUAAAGCACUUUUGUCCGGAAAGAAAUCCUCUGGGUUAAUACCUCGGGGGGAUGACGGUACCGGAAGAAUAAGCACCGGCUAACUACGUGCCAGCAGCCGCGGUAAUACGUAGGGUGCAAGCGUUAAUCGGAAUUACUGGGCGUAAAGCGUGCGCAGGCGGUUUUGUAAGACGGAUGUGAAAUCCCCGGGCUUAACCUGGGAACUGCAUUCGUGACUGCAAGGCUAGAGUAUGGCAGAGGGGGGUAGAAUUCCACGUGUAGCAGUGAAAUGCGUAGAGAUGUGGAGGAAUACCGAUGGCGAAGGCGGCCCCCUGGGCCAAUACUGACGCUCAUGCACGAAAGCGCGGGGAGCAAACAGGAUUAGAUACCCUGGUAGUCCACGCCCUAAACGAUGUCAACUAGUUGUUGGGGAUUCAUUUCCUUAGUAACGUAGCUAACGCGUGAAGUUGACCGCCUGGGGAGUACGGUCGCAAGAUUAAAACUUAAAGGAAUUGA
RNAcentral lists this ribosomal RNA (565 nucleotides) under uncultured bacterium. Its description in RNAcentral is "partial 16S ribosomal RNA". It matches the Rfam family "Bacterial small subunit ribosomal RNA", at positions 355 to 913 of the family's 1533-position model. The record is from RNAcentral.